RNAcentral lists this ribosomal RNA (281 nucleotides) under uncultured Staphylococcus sp. RNAcentral's name for it is "partial 16S ribosomal RNA". It matches the Rfam family "Bacterial small subunit ribosomal RNA", at positions 81 to 354 of the family's 1533-position model. Lineage: Bacteria; Bacillati; Bacillota; Bacilli; Caryophanales; Staphylococcaceae. The record is from RNAcentral.
CUCCUUUGACGUUAGCGGCGGACGGGUGAGUAACACGUGGGUAACCUACCUAUAAGACUGGGAUAACUUCGGGAAACCGGAGCUAAUACCGGAUAAUAUUUCGAACCGCAUGGUUCGAUAGUGAAAGGUGGUUUUGCUAUCACUUAUAGAUGGACCCGCGCCGUAUUAGCUAGUUGGUAAGGUAACGGCUUACCAAGGCGACGAUACGUAGCCGACCUGAGAGGGUGAUCGGCCACACUUGAACUGAGACACGGUCCAGACUCCUACGGGAGGCAGCAGGU